RNAcentral lists this ribosomal RNA (957 nucleotides) under Lactiplantibacillus plantarum. RNAcentral's name for it is "bacterial SSU rRNA". It matches the Rfam family "Bacterial small subunit ribosomal RNA", at positions 73 to 1004 of the family's 1533-position model. Lineage: Bacteria; Bacillati; Bacillota; Bacilli; Lactobacillales; Lactobacillaceae. The record is from RNAcentral.
CUGGUGCUUGCAUCAUGAUUUACAUUUGAGUGAGUGGCGAACUGGUGAGUAACACGUGGGAAACCUGCCCAGAAGCGGGGGAUAACACCUGGAAACAGAUGCUAAUACCGCAUAACAACUUGGACCGCAUGGUCCGAGCUUGAAAGAUGGCUUCGGCUAUCACUUUUGGAUGGUCCCGCGGCGUAUUAGCUAGAUGGUGGGGUAACGGCUCACCAUGGCAAUGAUACGUAGCCGACCUGAGAGGGUAAUCGGCCACAUUGGGACUGAGACACGGCCCAAACUCCUACGGGAGGCAGCAGUAGGGAAUCUUCCACAAUGGACGAAAGUCUGAUGGAGCAACGCCGCGUGAGUGAAGAAGGGUUUCGGCUCGUAAAACUCUGUUGUUAAAGAAGAACAUAUCUGAGAGUAACUGUUCAGGUAUUGACGGUAUUUAACCAGAAAGCCACGGCUAACUACGUGCCAGCAGCCGCGGUAAUACGUAGGUGGCAAGCGUUGUCCGGAUUUAUUGGGCGUAAAGCGAGCGCAGGCGGUUUUUUAAGUCUGAUGUGAAAGCCUUCGGCUCAACCGAAGAAGUGCAUCGGAAACUGGGAAACUUGAGUGCAGAAGAGGACAGUGGAACUCCAUGUGUAGCGGUGAAAUGCGUAGAUAUAUGGAAGAACACCAGUGGCGAAGGCGGCUGUCUGGUCUGUAACUGACGCUGAGGCUCGAAAGUAUGGGUAGCAAACAGGAUUAGAUACCCUGGUAGUCCAUACCGUAAACGAUGAAUGCUAAGUGUUGGAGGGUUUCCGCCCUUCAGUGCUGCAGCUAACGCAUUAAGCAUUCCGCCUGGGGAGUACGGCCGCAAGGCUGAAACUCAAAGGAAUUGACGGGGGCCCGCACAAGCGGUGGAGCAUGUGGUUUAAUUCGAAGCUACGCGAAGAACCUUACCAGGUCUUGACAUACUAUGCAAAUCUAAGA